GAUGAACGCUGGCGGCGUGCCUAAUACAUGCAAGUCGAGCGAACAGACGAGGAGCUUGCUCCUCUGACGUUAGCGGCGGACGGGUGAGUAACACGUGGAUAACCUACCUAUAAGACUGGGAUAACUUCGGGAAACCGGAGCUAAUACCGGAUAAUAUAUUGAACCGCAUGGUUCAAUAGUGAAAGACGGUUUUGCUGUCACUUAUAGAUGGAUCCGCGCCGCAUUAGCUAGUUGGUAAGGUAACGGCUUACCAAGGCAACGAUGCGUAGCCGACCUGAGAGGGUGAUCGGCCACACUGGAACGGAGACACGGUCCAGACUCCUACGGGAGGCAGCAGUAGGGAAUCUUCCGCAAUGGGCGAAAGCCUGACGGAGCAACGCCGCGUGAGUGAUGAAGGUCUUCGGAUCGUAAAACUCUGUUAUUAGGGAAGAACAAAUGUGUAAGUAACUAUGCACGGCUUGACGGUACCUAAUCAGAAAGCCACGGCUAACUACGUG
RNAcentral lists this ribosomal RNA (497 nucleotides) under uncultured bacterium. RNAcentral describes it as "partial 16S ribosomal RNA". It matches the Rfam family "Bacterial small subunit ribosomal RNA", at positions 28 to 507 of the family's 1533-position model. The record is from RNAcentral.